Molecule: non-coding RNA, 378 nt
Organism: Budorcas taxicolor (takin)
Lineage: Eukaryota; Metazoa; Chordata; Mammalia; Artiodactyla; Bovidae
Source: the annotation of a RefSeq genome assembly
AUGGGGCUCCCUGGCCUGCUCAGAGCUGUCAUAGCCUCUGUCUGCCUUGGUAAGGCUGGAUCCAUCAUGGCCCAGAAAGUAACUCAGAAUCGGUCAGAAAUUUCUGUGCUGGAGAAGGAGGAUGUAACCUUGAAUUGUGCAUAUGAAGCUAAUAGUUAUACUUAUUAUUUAUUCUGGUACAAGCAACCACCAAGUAGGGAAAUGAUUUUCCUUAUUCAUCAGGAGUCUUACAAUGAGCUGAAUACAACAAAAGGUCAGUAUUUUUUGAACUUCCAGAAAGCAAUGAGUUCCAUCAGCCUCACCAUCUCAGACUUACAGCUCGAGGACUCCGCCGUGUAUUUCUGUGCUCUGAGAGACCACAGUGAUGCCGCUGCCUGA